AAGAAGCAGAAAAAGAAAUUAUUAAAGGUAUAUAGCAGAGUAUUUACAUAGCACCUAUAAUUUGUAAUGAGGCUGAAGUAACAACUCUUAAAAUCAGAACAAAAUGUAGUAGCAGUCAAAAUCUUUUGAUAUACUACCACUUACAACUGAAUUAUUCAUCACACUUUAAUACAAACAUACUUCAUUUUAUUGCACUCUACGUUAUUGCAAUUUGCAGAUAUUGUGGGGUUUUUUCUUUACAAAAUAAGGAUUUAUGGCAACUCUGGAUCUAGUUAAGUCUGUCAGCACCAGUUUUCCAACAGCAAGUGCUCACUUUAUGUCUCUAUGUCACAUUUUGGUAAUUCUUGCAAUAUUUCAGACUUUUUCAUUAUUAUUAUUAUAUCAGUUACGGUAAUCUGUGAUCAGUGAUCUUUCGAUUACAAUUAUAAUUGUUUGGAGCCACCAUGAAGCAUGCCCACAUAAGAUGAUAAACAGAAGCAAUAAAUGCUAUGCGUGUUCUGACUACUCCAGCAAUAGCCAUUCCUGUCUCUCUCCCUUUCCUUGGGCCUCUCUAUUCCCUGAGACACACAAAAUGGAAAUUAGGCCAAGUAAUAAUCCUACAGUGGCCUCCAAGCAUUCAAGGGAAAAGAAGAGUUACAUAUCUCUUACUUUAAGACAAAAGCUAGAAAUGAUAGUGAGGAAGGUAUAUCAAACGCCAAGAUAGGCUAAAUGCCAGGCCUCCUACACCAGUCUGAAUGCAAAGAAAAAGUUUUUGAAUGAAAUUAAAAGUGCUACUGCAGUGAAUACAUAAAUGGUGAGAGCAAAACAGCCUUAUUGAUGAUAUGACAAAAGUUUGAGUGGUAUAGAGAGAAGGUCAAACCAGCCACAGUAUUCUCUCAAGCCAAACCCUAAGCCAGAGAAAGACCCUAAUUCUCUUCAAAUCUAUGAAGCCUGAGAGAGGUGAGGAAGCUGCAGAAGAAAAGUAGGAAGCUAGCAGAAGUUAGUUUAAGAGGUUUAACAAAAGAAAUCAUGUCCCUAACAUAAAAACACGAGGUGAAGCAGCAAGUGUUGAUGGAGAGAAUGCAGCAAGUUAUCCAAAGAUCUUGCAAGGAUCACGGAUAAACAACAGAUUUUCAGUGUAGACAAAACAGGCUUCUAUUGGAAGAUGAUUUCUAGUAGUUUCAUAGCUAGAGACAAGUCAGUGGUUCACUUCAAAGUUUCAAAGAACUGAAUGACUCUCUUCUGAAGAGCUAAUGCAGCUGGUGACUUUUAGUUGAAGCCAGUGCUUACUGAUCAUUCUGAAAAUGUAUGGCCCUUAAGAACUAUGCUCAAUUACCCUGCCUGUGCUCUAUAAAUAGAACAACAAAGCCUCGAAGACAGCACAUCUGUUUAUAGCAUGGUUUAUUGAGUAUUUUAAGCCACCGUUGAGACUUAAAGCUCAGAAAAGAUUUCUCUCAAAGUAUUGUUAAUCGUUGACAAUGCACCUGGUCUCCCAAGAGCUCUGAUAAAGAUGUACAUUGAAUUUCAUGUUGUUUUCAUGUCUGCUAACACAACAUCCAUUCUGCAGCCCAUGGAUCAAGGAGCAAUUUGAGUUUCAAAUCUUAUUAUUUGGGAAACACAUUUUGUAAGGUUAUGGCUGUCAUAGUGUUUCCUCUCAUGGAUCUAAGCAAAGUAAAGAAAAACUUAUGGAAAGGAUUCACCAUUCGAGACAUAAUGAAAAACAUUAAUAGUUCAUGAGAGGAGGUCAAAAUAUCGACAUUAACAGGAGUUUGAAAGAAGUUGUUUCUGACUCAUGGAUGUCUUUGAGGGAUGUAAUCUUCAGUGGAGGGAGUCACUAGGAUGUGGUAGAAACAGCAAAAGAACGAGAAUUAGAAGUAGAGCUUGCAGAUGUGACUGAAUUGCUGUAAUCUCAUGAUAAAACUUGGAUGGUGAGGAAUUGCUUUUCCUGGAUGUGCAAAGAAAGUGCUUUCUUGAGAUGAAAUCUAUUUCUGGUGAAGAUGCUGUGAAUACUGUUGAAAUGACAACAAUGGAUUUAUAAUAUUACAUCAACUUAGUUAACAAAGCAGUGGCAGGGUUUGAGUGAAUCGAUCCCAUUUUCAAAGAAGUUCUACUGCAGGUAAAAUGCUAUCAAGUAGCACUGCAUACUACAGAGACAUCUUUCACGAAAGGGAAGAGUCCACUGAUGCAGCAACUUCACUGUUGUCUUAUUUUAAGAAAUUGCCAUAGCCACCCCAACCUUCAGCAGUCACCAUCCUGGUCAGUCAGUAGCCAACAACAUCAAGGCAAAAGUCUCCACCAACAAAAAGAUGAUGACUCACUGAAAGCCCAGAUGAUUGUUAGUAAUGAAAAAAAUUUUAAUU
Cebus imitator (Panamanian white-faced capuchin) is the source of this 2339-nucleotide long non-coding RNA. RefSeq lists it as uncharacterized. NCBI's taxonomy places the organism in Eukaryota, Metazoa, Chordata, Mammalia, Primates, Cebidae. The transcript is spliced from 3 exons. The record is from RefSeq and is a predicted model, not a curated record.